Molecule: ribosomal RNA, 513 nt
Filed under: Mycobacterium kansasii
Lineage: Bacteria; Bacillati; Actinomycetota; Actinomycetes; Mycobacteriales; Mycobacteriaceae
Description: bacterial SSU rRNA
Rfam family: Bacterial small subunit ribosomal RNA
Source: RNAcentral
UGGAGAGUUUGAUCCUGGCUCAGNNCGACGCUGGCGGCGUGCUUAACACAUGCAAGUCGAACGGAAAGGCCCUUCGGGGUACUCGAGUGGCGAACGGGUGAGUAACACGUGGGCAAUCUGCCCUGCACACCGGGAUAAGCCUGGGAAACUGGGUCUAAUACCGGAUAGGACCACUUGGCGCAUGCCUUGUGGUGGAAAGCUUUUGCGGUGUGGGAUGGGCCCGCGGCCUAUCAGCUUGUUGGUGGGGUGACGGCCUACCAAGGCGACGACGGGUAGCCGGGCCUGAGAGGGUGUCCGGCCACACUGGGACUGAGAUACGGCCCAGACUCCUACGGGAGGCAGCAGUGGGGAAUAUUGCACAAUGGGGCGCAAGCCUGAUGCAGCGACGCCGCGUGGGGGAUCACGGCCUUCGGGUUGUAAACCUCUUUCACCAUCGACGAAGGUCCGGGUUGUCUCGGAUUGACGGUAGGUGGAGAAGAAGCACCGGCCAACUACGUGCCAGCAGCCGCGGUA